UACAGUCUGUGUCCUUCUUGGGUAAAAGUGAUGGGAAAGCAAGGAUGCCUUCUUCACUGUCAUUGUCCCCGUCCGAGUACUCCAAGGACCUAACAGGGGGCCAGAGACACAGAAUGAAAGACACUCGGCUUCCAAUCAGCCUAACCAGGAACCCUUCCACUAUCUGCUUGAUCCAACCGGAGGAAAUUCGCUGGUGUUUCAUGAUUUUCCUUCACAAUAAGCUGUGAGCAAGCUGCAGAGGAAACUAGCCAAGUCAGAGCAGAAAGGAAACUGCCUCGCACCUUCGUCAGCUUCCUGUUGCAUCCAACUGAUAGCAGAAAGGAGAGGAUGUGAUGUGAUAGAAAAGCAAUGGAGAGAAGCAUAGACAUUGAGGACGUCACCGUCAGCCUGUCGUCUUCAUCCUUUUCUGAAUUCUGCGUAGAUUUCAGCCCUAGAGGAUGAAGUAAAAAGGGGUAGGAAGAACUGAUUCGGACUUUUCUCCUGGUAAUUAAUGAUCACUAUCGCAGUUGGCCAGCCUCUCUGCCGUGGGCUUUACAUGAAUUCUCCCAUCCAAUCUUUACGCCAAUCCGAGUCUUACGAAUGAGAACACUAAGGCUUAGAAUAACGUCAAACAGAGAAGAAGUAUUAGAGCCUGGAAGGAACCCAGGGUGGAGCAGCAGUGAGUGAAAUCAGGUGGGUGAUUUGAGAGGCUAAACAAAAGUCCACGGUAUCCAAGAAAGAUGAUGGCAGAGGAAACAUCAGUUUUUGAAGACUCAGCUUGCCUGAAAACAUGGUGGUGUAUUAAAGAAUACAUGUGACCGCUGAACAGACCAUCAAUCUAAUUAAGAACAGUUAAUAUCACAACAGAAAGAAAGAGAAAGAAAGAUGAUUGAAUCCCUUCUUAGUCUCUUAAUAGAGCCUUGUGAAGCCUUUCUGGAAGCUGGAGACUAACACUCUGGAGACCAAAAAAACUAAGCAAUUUUGUCAACAACUAGAGAAUGACUUGACUUUAAAACAAAAUGUUUGAAAACUAUGUCUUCCUUAACUGCCAAGACUGAGUUUGGUUUCUGGAUUUCCUUUGUAAGGACACCUGAUAUCACUUGCCUGAAAGCUUUUUAUAAUGUUGCUUGGAUUGUACCAAAUAUCUUGGAUGCUGUCUAUCAGCGCCUUACAUUGCAAUCCAGUAUUUCAAAUAUUGCAAAUCCGAACAUUUAGAUGUAGGCAAGGAAGAAGUUUCCCUCCCCAAAUCUGUUAACUUGUAUGUCCAUGGAGAUAUUCUAAUAAUGAUUUUAGAUAGAUCUGACUCUGUAAAUUAAUUCUCUACAAAGUGAUGAGCUACAUCUGAAUCAUUGUGCAAUGAUAUCAAGCUCUUUUGCAGAUGUUGUAAUGGUAAAAAUACUUGUAAAGAAUAAAAGUUUGGGUGAGGCUAGUGCUUUUGUUUUCAAAGCAGGUUCAAAUAAAUCAUUUGAAAGGA
Molecule: long non-coding RNA, 1453 nt
Organism: Phacochoerus africanus (Common warthog)
Lineage: Eukaryota; Metazoa; Chordata; Mammalia; Artiodactyla; Suidae
Exons: 6
Source: RefSeq, a predicted model, not a curated record